CCCGUACUAGGCAACCAAGGUACCAACCCCUCGAUACGGUUAUACGGGCCUACUACCCCCCGUACUAGGCUUGGUCGACUCACAACACGUAUAUAGAGAAAAUCAUAUACAUGUGUCCAUUUCAUCAUCAUUUCAAUAAUUAUAUAACCAUUCGAUUCAUAGGACGUACAUUGGACCUUCCAUUUCCUAAGGAUUCUAUAAAUGGGCAUUUUAUCAAACACAUGAUGGGCUAUUGUUCAUGUAAAUGAAAUCAUGUACUUCAAGAGUACUAAGUCCAACCAAUUCCGAAAUACGUAUAAAUCAGC
This 305-nucleotide long non-coding RNA is filed under the name Solanum tuberosum (potato). Its description in RNAcentral is "long non-coding RNA (STUB_LNC010754)". Lineage: Eukaryota; Viridiplantae; Streptophyta; Magnoliopsida; Solanales; Solanaceae. The record is from RNAcentral.